This 491-nucleotide ribosomal RNA is filed under the name uncultured bacterium. RNAcentral describes it as "partial 16S ribosomal RNA". It matches the Rfam family "Bacterial small subunit ribosomal RNA", at positions 29 to 506 of the family's 1533-position model. The record is from RNAcentral.
AGUGAACGCUGGCGGUAGGCCUAACACAUGCAAGUCGAACGGCAGCACAGUAAGAGCUUGCUCUUACGGGUGGCGAGUGGCGGACGGGUGAGGAAUACAUCGGAAUCUACUUUUUCGUGGGGGAUAACGUAGGGAAACUUACGCUAAUACCGCAUACGACCUACGGGUGAAAGCAGGGGAUCUUCGGACCUUGCGCGAUUGAAUGAGCCGAUGUCGGAUUAGCUAGUUGGCGGGGUAAAGGCCCACCAAGGCGACGAUCCGUAGCUGGUCUGAGAGGAUGAACGGCCACACGGGAAUGAGGGAACGGCCCAAACUCCUACGGGAGGGAGAGGGGGGGAAAAUUGGACAAAGGGCGCAGGCCGGAGACAGCCAAACCGCGGGGGGGAAGAAGGCCUUCGGGUUGUAAAACCCUUUUGUGGGGAAAAAAAAACAGGAGGUUAAUACCCCGCUGUUCUGAGGGUACCCAAAAAAGAAACAACGGAAAACUUGGG